GUUUCAGCAGGUAUGCGAACGCUUUUGCCGUAU
RNAcentral lists this ribosomal RNA (33 nucleotides) under Escherichia coli P0299438.2. The record is from RNAcentral. Lineage: Bacteria; Pseudomonadati; Pseudomonadota; Gammaproteobacteria; Enterobacterales; Enterobacteriaceae.